GUGCAUGUUUUGGCAGCACAUAUACUAAAAUUGGAAUGAUACAGGGAAGAUUAGCACGGCCUCUGUGCAAGGAUGACAUGCAAAUUCGUGAAGCAUUCCAUAUUCUU
RNAcentral lists this small nuclear RNA (107 nucleotides) under Apaloderma vittatum (bar-tailed trogon). The record is from RNAcentral. Lineage: Eukaryota; Metazoa; Chordata; Aves; Trogoniformes; Trogonidae.